UACGUAGGUGGCAAGCGUUGUCCGGAAUUAUUGGGCGUAAAGGGCGUGUAGGCGGCCAAUUAAGUCAGAUGUGAAAUCCCUGGGCUUAACCCAGGAACUGCAUUUGAAACUGAGUGGCUUGAGGACCGGAGAGGGUAGUGGAAUUCCCAGUGUAGCGGUGAAAUGCGUAGAUAUUGGGAGGAACACCAGUGGCGAAGGCGACUGCCUGGACGGCACCUGACGCUGAGGCGCGAAAGCUAGGGGAGCAAACGGG
This 253-nucleotide ribosomal RNA is filed under the name uncultured bacterium. RNAcentral's name for it is "partial 16S ribosomal RNA". It matches the Rfam family "Bacterial small subunit ribosomal RNA", at positions 524 to 776 of the family's 1533-position model. The record is from RNAcentral.